ACGUAGGUGGCAAGCGUUGUCCGGAAUUAUUGGGCGUAAAGCGCGCGCAGGCGGCUUCUUAAGUCCAUCUUAAAAGUGCGGGGCUUAACCCCGUGAUGGGAUGGAAACUGAGAGGCUGGAGUAUCGGAGAGGAAAGUGGAAUUCCUAGUGUAGCGGUGAAAUGCGUAGAGAUUAGGAAGAACACCGGUGGCGAAGGCGACUUUCUGGACGACAACUGACGCUGAGGCGCGAAAGCGUGGGGAGCAAACAG
Molecule: ribosomal RNA, 250 nt
Filed under: uncultured bacterium
Lineage: Bacteria
Description: partial 16S ribosomal RNA
Rfam family: Bacterial small subunit ribosomal RNA
Source: RNAcentral